This 253-nucleotide ribosomal RNA is filed under the name uncultured bacterium. RNAcentral's name for it is "partial 16S ribosomal RNA". It matches the Rfam family "Bacterial small subunit ribosomal RNA", at positions 524 to 776 of the family's 1533-position model. The record is from RNAcentral.
UACGAAGGGGGCUAGCGUUGUUCGGAAUUACUGGGCGUAAAGCGCGUGUAGGCGGGCCGUUAAGUCGGGGGUGAAAGCCCAGAGCUCAACUCUGGAACUGGCUUCGAUACUGGCGGCCUGGAGCAUGAUAGAGGCGAGUGGAAUUGCGAGUGUAGAGGUGAAAUUCGUAGAUAUUCGCAGGAACACCAGUGGCGAAGGCGACUCGCUGGAUCAUUGAUGACGUUGAGACGCGAAAGCGUGGGGAGCAAACAGG